UACGUAGGGUGCAAGCGUUAAUCGGAAUUACUGGGCGUAAAGCGUGCGCAGGCGGUUAUACAAGACAGGCGUGAAAUCCCCGGGCUUAACCUGGGAAUGGCUCCUGUGACUGUAUAGCUAGAGUGUGUCAGAGGGGGGUAGAAUUCCACGUGUAGCAGUGAAAUGCGUAGAUAUGUGGAGGAAUACCAAUGGCGAAGGCAGCCCCCUGGGACAACACUGACGUUCAUGCACGAAAGCGUGGGGAGCAAACAGGAUUAGAUACCCUAGUAGUCC
RNAcentral lists this ribosomal RNA (273 nucleotides) under uncultured Polynucleobacter sp. RNAcentral describes it as "partial 16S ribosomal RNA". It matches the Rfam family "Bacterial small subunit ribosomal RNA", at positions 524 to 796 of the family's 1533-position model. Lineage: Bacteria; Pseudomonadati; Pseudomonadota; Betaproteobacteria; Burkholderiales; Burkholderiaceae. The record is from RNAcentral.